RNAcentral lists this unclassified non-coding RNA (240 nucleotides) under soil metagenome. RNAcentral's name for it is "partial contains 5.8S ribosomal RNA, internal transcribed spacer 2, and large subunit ribosomal RNA". The record is from RNAcentral.
AACCAUAGAAACCUGCGGAGUACCUGCGGAAGGAUCAUUAUCGAGUGCGACCCCCUCGUAAAAAAAGGGGGUACCUCCCGUCCUUUGCUAAGCCCCUCACCUUUUUGGAGGGGGGGCUUUUAAAACCUUACUGCUUCGGUGGGGUCAUUCCCUCCGGAACAACUUCAAAUUCUCGUUUUAAACUGUUCAGUCCGAGAAAAUUUUUAAAAGCGAAAAACUUUUAACAACGGAUCUCAGAUC